RNAcentral lists this ribosomal RNA (899 nucleotides) under Escherichia coli. RNAcentral's name for it is "partial 23S ribosomal RNA". It matches the Rfam family "Bacterial large subunit ribosomal RNA", at positions 354 to 1257 of the family's 2925-position model. The record is from RNAcentral. Lineage: Bacteria; Pseudomonadati; Pseudomonadota; Gammaproteobacteria; Enterobacterales; Enterobacteriaceae.
GCGAUACAGGGUGACAGCCCCGUACACAAAAAUGCACAUAUUGUGAGCUCGAUGAGUAGGGCGGGACACGUGGUAUCCUGUCUGAAUAUGGGGGGACCAUCCUCCAAGGCUAAAUACUCCUGACUGACCGAUAGUGAACCAGUACCGUGAGGGAAAGGCGAAAAGAACCCCGGCGAGGGGAGUGAAAAAGAACCUGAAACCGUGUACGUACAAGCAGUGGGAGCCUCUUAAUGGGGUGACUGCGUACCUUUUGUAUAAUGGGUCAGCGACUUAUAUUCUGUAGCAAGGUUAACCGAAUAGGGGAGCCGAAGGGAAACCGAGUCUUAACUGGGCGUUAAGUUGCAGGGUAUAGACCCGAAACCCGGUGAUCUAGCCAUGGGCAGGUUGAAGGUUGGGUAACACUAACUGGAGGACCGAACCGACUAAUGUUGAAAAAUUAGCGGAUGACUUGUGGCUGGGGGUGAAAGGCCAAUCAAACCGGGAGAUAGCUGGUUCUCCCCGAAAGCUAUUUAGGUAGCGCCUCGUGAAUUCAUCUCCGGGGGUAGAGCACUGUUUCGGCAAGGGGGUCAUCCCGACUUACCAACCCGAUGCAAACUGCGAAUACCGGAGAAUGUUAUCACGGGAGACACACGGCGGGUGCUAACGUCCGUCGUGAAGAGGGAAACAACCCAGACCGCCAGCUAAGGUCCCAAAGUCAUGGUUAAGUGGGAAACGAUGUGGGAAGGCCCAGACAGCCAGGAUGUUGGCUUAGAAGCAGCCAUCAUUUAAAGAAAGCGUAAUAGCUCACUGGUCGAGUCGGCCUGCGCGGAAGAUGUAACGGGGCUAAACCAUGCACCGAAGCUGCGGCAGCGACACUAUGUGUUGUUGGGUAGGGGAGCGUUCUGUAAGCCUGUGAAGGU